CGAGCCCAACCAGGAGGAAGCGCCUUCCCUGCACGGCCUCCCUUGCAAGGCACUCCUGGGGGGCUGGCUUUCUGUGCUGUGCCCCCCCCCGCACCCUCGCCUCCCUGGGGGAAGGGAUGCACCUGUCGGCCUCGCUCCUGCAAGAGGCGGGCCAGGGGCAGCGCAGGUGGUCCAGCUCGGCCCGCCCUCUUCUUCCUGUCGGGCAGGAGCUGAGCCCUCGCCCUUCCUCCUCCUCCUCCUCCCUCCCUCCCUGAUUUUCGGACAGGGCUUCCCCUUCCCCCUCUCCCCGCGCUGAUUUGGGGCGCAGCGUUUCCCCGGGGUGCAGAAACGGCUCUCGGCGCUGCCCGGCUCCGCCGUGCCCCGGCUUUCCGCGCCGAGCCGAGCGCCGUCUCUCCCCGGGAAGCUCUGCGCACCAGCCCAGCGGGCAUCCCGGGCCGGGCGGGGCUCCGCGCGUGGGAAAGGAGCGGCCGCGCCGUGGCCGUCGCCGCUCGGGGCCAGGGGGACGGGCGGAGGCGGGGCGGCCACGCUUCCCGGCCGUCUCCGCCGCUCGCCGCCUGCACUCCGAGCUCCGGCCGCUGCGCAGGCAGAGAGCAAAGAUGUGCAGCGAUAUGAUCCAGAUGCUGCCGGUGAUUUUGGACCGAGGUGGCAACCUCUAUUUCCAAGGUAAUUCUCGGGAGGCUUUUCGCCCGGGGGUGGGUGGGUGGGGGGGGCUCCAACAGCCCGCCCGGCUCCCUUUCCCCCCCUCGAUCCUGCCCUGGAAUGAGGAAGCUCUGCCUGUGGGCACCGCAGUCUGCAGCCUCAAAAGAACUGCCGCUCGCAACUCUCCCCGCUGGCACCGAGGAAGGAAGGAAGCCUGCAGCUGCGGAGACAGAGAAUGGGAGGGCAGGACGAUCCUCUGCCUGAAUUUAGACAAUGAUUUCAUAUUUUCUUCCCCACCCCCCUUUCUCUCCCUCUUGCCUCCUGCUCCUGCUGCUGAAACGAAGCACAAGUUUUGGAAACAGACAGCUGGAAAACAUCAGGAAAAUGUGAACCUGCCCAAGUCUUCAGAAGUCCUAAUAAUCACGUCCUCAUAG
This 1073-nucleotide long non-coding RNA is filed under the name Laticauda laticaudata (blue-ringed sea krait). RNAcentral's name for it is "lncRNA (ENSLLTG00000017274.1)". Lineage: Eukaryota; Metazoa; Chordata; Lepidosauria; Squamata; Elapidae. The record is from RNAcentral.